Molecule: long non-coding RNA, 361 nt
Organism: Scomber japonicus (chub mackerel)
Lineage: Eukaryota; Metazoa; Chordata; Actinopteri; Scombriformes; Scombridae
Exons: 4
Source: RefSeq, a predicted model, not a curated record
UGCUAUCAGAGGAUCAUCCCCGGUGGAUUAUUCUGACACUGAUGGAACCGAUGAGGAUUGUUUAAAUGAUCAGCCAUUGGCUCCAUGCUGUGAUGAAGGUGUUCCAAAGUUGAGAAGGACGAAAAGCAUUUGGAUGAAAAAAGUUCCAGAUUUUUCUGAUGCCCUCUACGACAGUGAUGACUGUACAGAGGGCCCUUCAGCUCAGUCCAAGUUUGAGAUGGCUUUACAAAGGAUGCAUACAUUAGAAGAUUUCUGUCAACGUGUCAGUGAUUCAGAUGAGAGUAUUGUGGAAGAAACCGAUUAUGAGGAUUCCAUAAAGGAUGAUUUCAAUGAGAAAUCAGACAUUGGGGUUGUUCCAAAG